GACAGAGGGUGCAAACGUUGUUCGGAAUUACUGGGCGUAAAGCGCGUGUAGGCGGUCUCGCAAGUCGGAUGUGAAAGCCCAGGGCUCAACCCUGGAAGUGCACUCGAUACUGCGAGGCUAGAGUCCCGGAGAGGAUGGUGGAACUCUCGGUGUAGAGGUGAAAUUCGUAGAUAUCGAGAAGAACACCGGUGGCGAGGGCGGCCAUCUGGACGGUGACUGACGCUGAGACGCGAAAGCGUGGGGAGCAAACAGG
This 253-nucleotide ribosomal RNA is filed under the name uncultured bacterium. RNAcentral describes it as "partial 16S ribosomal RNA". It matches the Rfam family "Bacterial small subunit ribosomal RNA", at positions 524 to 776 of the family's 1533-position model. The record is from RNAcentral.